GACGGAGGGGGCUAGCGUUGUUCGGAAUUACUGGGCGUAAAGCGCGCGUAGGCGGCAUGCCAAGUUGGGGGUGAAAGCCCGGGGCUCAACUCCGGAACUGCCUUCAAAACUGGCAAGCUAGAGUUCGGAAGAGGAGAGUGGAAUACCCAGUGUAGAGGUGGAAUUCGUAGAUAUUGGGUAGAACACCAGUGGCGAAGGCGACUCUCUGGUCCGAUACUGACGCUGAGGUGCGAAAGCGUGGGGAGCAAACAGG
RNAcentral lists this unclassified non-coding RNA (253 nucleotides) under uncultured Alphaproteobacteria bacterium. RNAcentral describes it as "contains 16S-23S intergenic spacer region". It matches the Rfam family "Bacterial small subunit ribosomal RNA", at positions 524 to 776 of the family's 1533-position model. Lineage: Bacteria; Pseudomonadati; Pseudomonadota; Alphaproteobacteria. The record is from RNAcentral.